GUGGUUGUACUUACAAAUCUACAUCAAUAUGCCUUCUAAGCAUUUGACGGGGGUUCGUUUCCCCCCGAUUGCA
This 73-nucleotide transfer RNA is filed under the name Nippostrongylus brasiliensis. It matches the Rfam family "tRNA". Rfam says of the family: Transfer RNA (tRNA) molecules are approximately 80 nucleotides in length. Their secondary structure includes four short double-helical elements and three loops (D, anti-codon, and T loops). Further hydrogen bonds mediate the characteristic L-shaped molecular structure. tRNAs have two regions of fundamental functional importance: the anti-codon, which is responsible for specific mRNA codon recognition, and the 3' end, to which the tRNAs corresponding amino acid is attached (by aminoacyl-tRNA synthetases). tRNAs cope with the degeneracy of the genetic code in two manners: having more than one tRNA (with a specific anti-codon) for a particular amino acid; and 'wobble' base-pairing, i.e. permitting non-standard base-pairing at the 3rd anti-codon position. Lineage: Eukaryota; Metazoa; Nematoda; Chromadorea; Rhabditida; Heligmosomidae. The record is from Rfam by way of RNAcentral.